GGAUGUGAGGGCGAUCUGGCUGCGACAUCUGUCACCCCAUUGAUUGCCAGGGUUGAUUCGGCUGAUCUGGCUGGCUAGGCGGGUGUCCCCUUCCUCCCUCACCGCUCCAUGUGUGUCCCUCCCGAAGCUGCGCGCUCGGUCGAAGAGGACGGCCUUCCCCGAAUAGAGACGGACCGGUCUUCGGUCGAGGGUAUACGAGUAGCUGCGCUCCCCUGCUAGAACCUCCAAACAAGCUCUCAAGAAUGUAAUCCUCCCAAUAUCUUCACUUGAGCCCAGUAAGACCUACUCAGACUUCAGCCUCCAGCACCAGAAAAUCAUGUGUCAGUGU
Erinaceus europaeus (western European hedgehog) is the source of this 328-nucleotide unclassified non-coding RNA. Its record names the gene 7SK. It matches the Rfam family "7SK RNA". From Rfam's summary of the family: 7SK was discovered as an abundant small nuclear RNA in the mid-70s but a possible function has only recently been suggested. Two independent studies have found that 7SK RNA binds the CDK9/cyclin T complex (known as elongation factor P-TEFb). Lineage: Eukaryota; Metazoa; Chordata; Mammalia; Eulipotyphla; Erinaceidae. The record is from Ensembl.